Molecule: ribosomal RNA, 448 nt
Filed under: Kengyilia rigidula
Lineage: Eukaryota; Viridiplantae; Streptophyta; Magnoliopsida; Poales; Poaceae
Source: RNAcentral
GGAUCCCAUCAGAACUCCGAAGUUAAGCGUGCUUGGGCGAGAGUAGUACUAGGAUGGGUGACCUCCUGGGAAGUCCUCGUGUUGCAUUCCUUUUUUAAUUUUUUUUGCGCGUCGUGACAAACAAAACGCACGUGCGUGACAUAUAUUAACCCCGUUGUUUCUUAUUUUCCAUGUUUGCGGUACGUUUUCGCUCGCUGCUCAUUAUUCACGCGUCUAGCCGGCGUUGUGGCCGGCAAGCACGUUCCGAAAGGGGAUCGAGACCAUGGUAAAUACGUGGUGGUGCGGUUGAGAGGGAGGGGUGGAAACCGUGGUAAACUCGUCUCCGCAGUUGAGCGGGAGUGGCCAAAAGAAUGUGCAAUCGUUUUUGUAGUGGAGCUGGGAGGGGCAAGCAUAAGGGACGAAGGCAGGGGUAACAUGUCGGAUGUGAUCAUACCAGCACUAAAGCACC